AAACUACAUUUUGAGAGGGAGUAAUCCCUGCCAACCUGCAAUAACCUGCGAAGGUGGUAACUUUAAUGUGGCUUAAUAAGCAAAAAAAGGUUCUUUC
The submitters of this non-coding RNA (97 nucleotides) gave its source as unclassified sequences. The record is from Rfam.